This 529-nucleotide ribosomal RNA is filed under the name Stenotrophomonas sp. IVb_C. RNAcentral's name for it is "bacterial SSU rRNA". It matches the Rfam family "Bacterial small subunit ribosomal RNA", at positions 8 to 524 of the family's 1533-position model. Lineage: Bacteria; Pseudomonadati; Pseudomonadota; Gammaproteobacteria; Lysobacterales; Lysobacteraceae. The record is from RNAcentral.
AGAGUUUGAUCCUGGCUCAGAGUGAACGCUGGCGGUAGGCCUAACACAUGCAAGUCGAACGGCAGCACAGUAAGAGCUUGCUCUUAUGGGUGGCGAGUGGCGGACGGGUGAGGAAUACAUCGGAAUCUACCUUUUCGUGGGGGAUAACGUAGGGAAACUUACGCUAAUACCGCAUACGACCUUCGGGUGAAAGCAGGGGACCUUCGGGCCUUGCGCGGAUAGAUGAGCCGAUGUCGGAUUAGCUAGUUGGCGGGGUAAAGGCCCACCAAGGCGACGAUCCGUAGCUGGUCUGAGAGGAUGAUCAGCCACACUGGAACUGAGACACGGUCCAGACUCCUACGGGAGGCAGCAGUGGGGAAUAUUGGACAAUGGGCGCAAGCCUGAUCCAGCCAUACCGCGUGGGUGAAGAAGGCCUUCGGGUUGUAAAGCCCUUUUGUUGGGAAAGAAAAGCAGUCGAUUAAUACUCGGUUGUUCUGACGGUACCCAAAGAAUAAGCACCGGCUAACUUCGUGCCAGCAGCCGCGGUAAU